This 329-nucleotide unclassified non-coding RNA is filed under the name soil metagenome. RNAcentral describes it as "partial contains 5.8S ribosomal RNA, internal transcribed spacer 2, and large subunit ribosomal RNA". The stretch from base 1 to 120 matches the Rfam family "5.8S ribosomal RNA", at positions 35 to 154 of the family's 154-position model. The record is from RNAcentral.
GAUGAAGAACGUAGCGAAAUGCGAUAAGUAAUGUGAAUUGCAGAAUUUAGUGAAUCAUCGAAUCUUUGAACGCACAUUGCGCCCCUUGGUAUCCCGAGGGGCAUGCCUGUUCGAGCGUCAUUUCACCACUCAAGCCUGGCUUGGUGUUGGGCGACGUCCUCUUUGGGGACGCGCCUCGAAACGCUCGGCGGCGUGGCACCGGCUUUAAGCGUAGCAGAAUCUUUCGCUUUGGAAGUCGGGGCCCCGUCUGCCGGAAGACCUGCUCGCAAGGUUGACCUCGGAUCAGGCAGGGAUACCCGCUGAACUUAAGCAUAUCAAUAAGCGGAGGA